CGUGCUGGAAUCUUUUCAGUUUGUCGCAGAGUAGAAAAAUAAAAAAGGGGGAAAAAAAGGCUCAGUAAUUUAAAUUUGCUCUCAGUUCAGGCUGCAUCGUUGGGUCCCGCCCCUUCUUCCCGCUGGGUUCCACUACCUGCAAGGCUGGAAUUGACAGCUACUGUGCAAACAAAAAAAGGAAACAAGCAUGCUGGGACCAUUCUGACUGCUGUUUGGGUCUCACUUGUCCUGACAACUAAAAAUCAUCAGUGGAAAGAGGCCAUAAAGAUGAAUAGAGUAAGAAUAUAACAGAGGCCCUUUGACUGGCACAGAAGAGGAUUAUACUUCCCUGCCCUUUCUGAAGUGAGGCAAAGCUAUUUGAUAUGCUUUGGCCAGUGAAAGGACUUUCAGGAUCAGCAACUCUUGGCCAGAAACAAAAGCAGAAUCCUCCCAUUUCCCCCAUGGAUUUGAAUGAAAACUGCUGAUAAAACCAAGUACAACUGCAAAGGAGAUGUUGGAGAAGAACCAAGGAUUCACUAAAAUUGGAACUCAGUAUUACUGAAAACUUGAAGGCUGGAAAAAAAAGACAAAGUGUUUUUCCAAAAGUGCCAAAAUGUGUGUCUCAGUGCUAUAUGGACAGAAGUGGGCACCAUCUUACAGGCUGGCAGGAGUUACUUUGGUAGACCUUAAUGGUCUUAAAGGUCUACCAAAGACGAAUAGCCACUUAUUUUCCUUAGAUUAACUCUGGAUAUUGGCAAAGUAAUCUAAAGGGAAGUACUUCAAACUGAGAUAUUAAUUGCUUUGUUUAUUCAUGUAAAAGUAUGUUCCAUGGUAGCGAAGGGACAGUGGUUAUCACAAUAGAAGAAAAAUUAAUGUGAGUAGCAUUUCUAGUUUUCCACCUUUGUGCGAAUGGACUCACUCCAUUCCUUCCUGCAGAAGCAUACCCAGACACCACGACUGUUUGACUGUCUAAGGGAUUUAAGGAACACAUUGUAAACCAGAAGAGGGGCCUAUUGAUACUAUCACAGUACUUUUGAAUUCGUCACUUCCACAUUUACUCAAUCUCUGUGAAGACUGAAAUGAACAUAAGAGUCCACGAAAUACAAUACUCAUAUUAUCGAAUGCUCUGUGUCUCAUCCAACUCUUCCUAGCCCAGAAGAACUGCUCUCUCUUUUGGGUGACUCUAAACCCUCAUUUGGCACUUUGCAUGUGAAUGUUUUUAUUUGCAUGCAUUCCCUUAGCAACAGAUUGUAAUUCAGUUCAAUCUAAUCCCAUUCAGUUUAAAAUAUUUAUUCUGUACCUAUUACAUGUCAGGGACUAUGCGAAGUGCCAGCAAUAAAUACCUGAGACAUGGUCCCUGGCUUCUCGUAAACACUUUAAUAUAUAGAUGAGGAGGCUGGCACAUGAUCCAGGUGUAGUGGGAAAAGUGCAACCAUAGAAGUAUGGCCAAAGUAACAGGUAGCAAGGCAGGAUGUGACACGGCUGAAGGCAUAGGUGUCGGGAAAUGGUCAUUACAGGUGUGACAUUUGUGAUAGGCUCUGGGGUAAGUUGAUAUCCCUUAGGCAAGUGUAAGGGAAAGAGAAUCCUAUUUUAGGCAGAAAGAAAGCAUGUGCAAAGGACUAGAACAUGUCAUAUCUGACCCAUUUGGGGAAAUGAAAGUAGUGCAGCAGCAAAAGAGCAUAAAAUUUAAAAUAGUGGAGAUCAGCAGGAGAUGAUACUUAGACUCAGAUGAUUAAAGGUUUUGCAUACUAUGCUAAAAAGCUUGGAUUUUAUCCUAAGGCCAAAGGACGUUAUACGAUGAUUUGUACAGAUUAGCAACAAAAAUUACUAUUAUUUUUUGGGUAAAGCGUGGAGAACGUUUUGGAGGAAGUGUAUGUUGUAGAAUGUAUGCUAAAACCUAAUCUGCAAUGGGGCACCUGGCUGACUCAGUCGGUAGAGCAUGUGACUCUUGAUCGCAGGGUCAUGAGUUCGAGCCCCACAUUGGGGUUUAGAGAUUACUUAAAACAAAAACCCAAUUCCUAUUGUGAUAUUUUUAGGAUGUAGGACUUUUGGAAUUGAUUAGGUCAUGAGGUGGGAGGCCUCAUGAAUAGGAUCAAUAACUUCAUAAAAGAGACCCCAGAGAGUUCUCUCUCGCCUUCUGUCAUGUGAGGACACAAGAAGAUGUCAGGAAGUGGGUACUUAUCGGACACAGAAUCUGCUGGUACCUUGAUCUUGGACUUCCCAGCCUCCAGAAUUGUGAGAAAUACAUGUUUGUUAUUUAAGAUACUCAGUCUAUGGUAUUGUUUUUAUAGCAAGCUGAAUGGGUUAAGACCAUGUAUAUGGCCAGUAGAUACAAUUAGAAUUGACUAAGGAGGAAGCAGCUGGGCAUAAAGAAGAACUAUAUAGUUGACAUAAUCAAAGAACUUGGUAAAUGAGAGGGAUGGCAAUGGAGAGGUCUGGAAUCAUCCCCAAGUUCCUGCAGAGGGUAUCAUGGAGAAUGCUGGUGCCAGUACAAAGAAAGGAAAGAGACAGGAGACAGAGAAGCCUUAUGGAGAGGAAAACAGAAAGCUUGUGUUGGAUCUUUUUUUUUUUUUCAACGUUUUUA
Molecule: long non-coding RNA, 2563 nt
Organism: Herpailurus yagouaroundi (jaguarundi)
Lineage: Eukaryota; Metazoa; Chordata; Mammalia; Carnivora; Felidae
Exons: 5
Source: RefSeq, a predicted model, not a curated record